Molecule: ribosomal RNA, 475 nt
Filed under: uncultured organism
Description: partial 16S ribosomal RNA
Rfam family: Bacterial small subunit ribosomal RNA
Source: RNAcentral
UACACUCCUGCGGGAGGCAGCAGUGGGGAAUUUUGGACAAUGGGCGAAAGCCUGAUCCAGCAAUGCCGCGUGAGUGAAGAAGGCCUUCGGGUUGUAAAGCUCUUUUGUCAGGGAAGAAACGGUGAGAGCUAAUAUCUUUUGCUAAUGACGGUACCUGAAGAAUAAGCACCGGCUAACUACGUGCCAGCAGCCGCGGUAAUACGUAGGGUGCAAGCGUUAAUCGGAAUUACUGGGCGUAAAGCGUGCGCAGGCGGUUUUGUAAGUCUGAUGUGAAAUCCCCGGGCUCAACCUGGGAAUUGCAUUGGAGACUGCAAGGCUAGAAUCUGGCAGAGGGGGGUAGAAUUCCACGUGUAGCAGUGAAAUGCGUAGAUAUGUGGAGGAACACCGAUGGCGAAGGCAGCCCCCUGGGUCAAGAUUGACGCUCAUGCACGAAAGCGUGGGGAGCAAACAGGAUUAGAUACCCUGGUAGUCCCAU